AUUGAACGCUGGCGGCAUGCUUUACACAUGCAAGUCGAACGGUAACAGGCCGCAAGGUGCUGACGAGUGGCGCACGGGUGAGUAAUGCAUCGGAACGUGCCCAGUCGUGGGGGAUAACUACUCGAAAGAGUAGCUAAUACCGCAUACGAUCUAUGGAUGAAAGCGGGGGACCGUAAGGCCUCGCGCGAUUGGAGCGGCCGAUGUCAGAUUAGGUAGUUGGUGGGGUAAAGGCUCACCAAGCCAACGAUCUGUAGCUGGUCUGAGAGGACGACCAGCCACGCUGGGACUGAGACACGGCCCAGACUCCUACGGGAGGCAGCAGUGGGGAAUUUUGGACAAUGGGCGCAAGCCUGAUCCAGCAAUGCCGCGUGCAGGAAGAAGGCCUUCGGGUUGUAAACUGCUUUUGUACGGAACGAAACGGCUCUGGUUAAUACCCGGGGCUAAUGACGGUACCGUAAGAAUAAGCACCGGCUAACUACGUG
RNAcentral lists this ribosomal RNA (482 nucleotides) under uncultured bacterium. RNAcentral's name for it is "partial 16S ribosomal RNA". It matches the Rfam family "Bacterial small subunit ribosomal RNA", at positions 30 to 507 of the family's 1533-position model. The record is from RNAcentral.